This 213-nucleotide unclassified non-coding RNA is filed under the name soil metagenome. RNAcentral describes it as "partial contains 5.8S ribosomal RNA, internal transcribed spacer 2, and large subunit ribosomal RNA". The record is from RNAcentral.
AACGCACGAGACCUGCGGACCUGCGGAAGGAUCAUUACAGAGUUAUCAAACUCCUAAACCCUUUGUUAAUUUACCUAUUUGUUUCUUCGGCAGGUGGUCCCUGGGAGGGUCCUGCAGCCUGUUAAGGUACCUGCCGAAGGUCAUAACUCGGUUUUACAUUAUGUGUCUAAGCCUUACUAUAAAAUAAGUCAAAACUUUCAACAAUGGAUCUCU